RNAcentral lists this ribosomal RNA (493 nucleotides) under uncultured bacterium. RNAcentral's name for it is "bacterial SSU rRNA". It matches the Rfam family "Bacterial small subunit ribosomal RNA", at positions 28 to 507 of the family's 1533-position model. RNAcentral also lists the same sequence under 1 other name. The record is from RNAcentral.
GACGAACGCUGGCGGUGUGCUUAACACAUGCAAGUGGUGCGACGAACCAGAGCUUGCUCUGGGGCAAAGCCGCGAACGGGUGAGUAACACGUGGGUAAUCUACCCCGAUGACCGGGACAACCCGAGGAAACUCGGGCUAAUACCGGAUGUGGUACGGAGACAUAAGUCUCUUUACUAAAGGUAGCUUCGGCUUCCGCAUUGGGAGGGGCCCGCGGCCCAUUAGCUAGUUGGUGGGGUCAAGGCCUACCAAGGCAACGAUGGGUAGCUGGUCUGAGAGGACGAUCAGCCACACUGGGACUGAGACACGGCCCAGACUCCUACGGGAGGCAGCAGUGGGGAAUCUUGCGCAAUGCGCGAAAGCGUGACGCAGCAACACCGCGUGAGGGAAGACGGCCUUAGGGUUGUAAACCUCUUUCAGAUGGGACGAAGGUGAUGCGGUGAAUAGCCGAUGUCAUUGACGGUACCGUCAGAAGAAGCUCCGGCUAACUACGUG